UGGGGAAUUUUGGACAAUGGGCGAAAGCCUGAUCCAGCAAUGCCGCGUGUGUGAAGAAGGCCUUCGGGUUGUAAAGCACUUUUGUCCGGAAAGAAAUCCUUGGCUCUAAUACAGUCGGGGGAUGACGGUACCGGAAGAAUAAGCACCGGCUAACUACGUGCCAGCAGCCGCGGUAAUACGUAGGGUGCAAGCGUUAAUCGGAAUUACUGGGCGUAAAGCGUGCGCAGGCGGUUUGCUAAGACCGAUGUGAAAUCCCCGGGCUCAACCUGGGAACUGCAUUGGUGACUGGCAGGCUAGAGUAUGGCAGAGGGGGGUAGAAUUCCACGUGUAGCAGUGAAAUGCGUAGAGAUGUGGAGGAAUACCGAUGGCGAAGGCAGCCCCCUGGGCCAAUACUGACGCUCAUGCACGAAAGCGUGGGGAGCAAACAGGAUUAGAUACCCUGGUAGUCCACGCCCUAAACGAUGUCAACUAGUUGUUGGGGAUUCAUUUCCUUAGUAACGUAGCUAACGCGUGAAGUUGACCGCCUGGGGGAGUACGGUCGCAAGAUUAAAACUCAAAGGAAUUGACGGGGUCAUAGCUGUUU
This 583-nucleotide ribosomal RNA is filed under the name uncultured bacterium. RNAcentral describes it as "partial 16S ribosomal RNA". It matches the Rfam family "Bacterial small subunit ribosomal RNA", at positions 355 to 935 of the family's 1533-position model. The record is from RNAcentral.